This 201-nucleotide long non-coding RNA is filed under the name Cottoperca gobio. RNAcentral describes it as "lncRNA (ENSCGOG00000013467.1)". The record is from RNAcentral. Lineage: Eukaryota; Metazoa; Chordata; Actinopteri; Perciformes; Bovichtidae.
UUUCUUGAGAGGCAAUCCACCGAUUUUACCCAUCAAGGUCAGUUUACUCAUCAUGGGCGCCAGGUGCCGUGAGGCGACUUGCUGCAGACGAGGAAGGCGUGCCCUGGCUGGUCCUACGUGCUAUUUUAACAUGGCAGCAGCGCACACAGGUCCGCGUUGUCUUGCCCAACUCGGGAUCCGUGGCAAAGCUCGAAGCUGUCC